Molecule: unclassified non-coding RNA, 143 nt
Organism: Callithrix jacchus (white-tufted-ear marmoset)
Lineage: Eukaryota; Metazoa; Chordata; Mammalia; Primates; Cebidae
Rfam family: Metazoan signal recognition particle RNA
About the family: The signal recognition particle (SRP) is a universally conserved ribonucleoprotein. It is involved in the co-translational targeting of proteins to membranes.
Source: Ensembl
GCUGGGCAUGGUGGUGCAUGCCUGUAAUCCCAGCUACUCAGGAGGCUGAGGCAGGAGAAUCAUUUGAACCCAGGAGGCAGAGGUUGCAGUAAGAUUUUGACACUGCAUUCUAUCCUGGGCAACAGAGUGGGACUCUGUCUCAA